Molecule: ribosomal RNA, 1542 nt
Filed under: Porphyromonas gingivalis
Lineage: Bacteria; Pseudomonadati; Bacteroidota; Bacteroidia; Bacteroidales; Porphyromonadaceae
Description: bacterial SSU rRNA
Rfam family: Bacterial small subunit ribosomal RNA
Source: RNAcentral
UAUGACAGUGGAGAGUUUGAUCCUGGCUCAGGAUGAACGCUAGCGAUAGGCUUAACACAUGCAAGUCGAGGGGCAGCAUGAUCUUAGCUUGCUAAGGUUGAUGGCGACCGGCGCACGGGUGCGUAACGCGUAUGCAACUUGCCUUACAGAGGGGGAUAACCCGUUGAAAGACGGACUAAAACCGCAUACACUUGUAUUAUUGCAUGAUAUUACAAGGAAAUAUUUAUAGCUGUAAGAUAGGCAUGCGUCCCAUUAGCUAGUUGGUGAGGUAACGGCUCACCAAGGCGACGAUGGGUAGGGGAACUGAGAGGUUUAUCCCCCACACUGGUACUGAGACACGGACCAGACUCCUACGGGAGGCAGCAGUGAGGAAUAUUGGUCAAUGGGCGAGAGCCUGAACCAGCCAAGUCGCGUGAAGGAAGACUGUCCUAAGGAUUGUAAACUUCUUUUAUACGGGAAUAACUGGCGAUACGAGUAUUGCAUUGAAUGUACCGUAAGAAUAAGCAUCGGCUAACUCCGUGCCAGCAGCCGCGGUAAUACGGAGGAUGCGAGCGUUAUCCGGAUUUAUUGGGUUUAAAGGGUGCGUAGGUUGUUCGGUAAGUCAGCGGUGAAAACUGAGCGCUCAACGUUCAGCCUGCCGUUGAAACUGCCGGGCUUGAGUUCAGCGGCGGCAGGCGGAAUUCGUGGUGUAGCGGUGAAAUGCAUAGAUAUCACGAGGAACUCCGAUUGCGAAGGCAGCUUGCCAUACUGCGACUGACACUGAAGCACGAAGGCGUGGGUAUCAAACAGGAUUAGAUACCCUGGUAGUCCACGCAGUAAACGAUGAUUACUAGGAGUUUGCGAUAUACCGUCAAGCUUCCACAGCGAAAGCGUUAAGUAAUCCACCUGGGGAGUACGCCGGCAACGGUGAAACUCAAAGGAAUUGACGGGGGCCCGCACAAGCGGAGGAACAUGUGGUUUAAUUCGAUGAUACGCGAGGAACCUUACCCGGGAUUGAAAUGUAGAUGACGGAUGGUGAAAACCGUCUUCCCUUCGGGGCUUCUAUGUAGGUGCUGCAUGGUUGUCGUCAGCUCGUGCCGUGAGGUGUCGGCUUAAGUGCCAUAACGAGCGCAACCCACAUCGGUAGUUGCUAACAGUUUUCGCUGAGGACUCUACCGAGACUGCCGUCGUAAGGCGUGAGGAAGGUGUGGAUGACGUCAAAUCAGCACGGCCCUUACAUCCGGGGCGACACACGUGUUACAAUGGGAGGGACAAAGGGCAGCUACCGGGCGACCGGAUGCGAAUCUCUAAACCCUUCCCCAGUUCGGAUCGGAGUCUGCAACUCGACUCCGUGAAGCUGGAUUCGCUAGUAAUCGCGCAUCAGCCAUGGCGCGGUGAAUACGUUCCCGGGCCUUGUACACACCGCCCGUCAAGCCAUGGGAGUCGGGGGUACCUGAAGGGCGUAACCGCAAGGGGCGCACUAGGGUAAUACCGGUGACUGGGGCUAAGUCGUAACAAGGUAGCCGUACCGGAAGGUGCGGCUGGAACACCUCCUUUCUGGAG